Molecule: ribosomal RNA, 393 nt
Filed under: uncultured bacterium
Lineage: Bacteria
Description: partial 16S ribosomal RNA
Rfam family: Bacterial small subunit ribosomal RNA
Source: RNAcentral
AUACGGAGGAUCCAAGCGUUAUCCGGAUUUAUUGGGUUUAAAGGGUGCGUAGGCGGACUGGUAAGUCAGUUGUGAAAGUUUGCGGCUCAACCGUAAAAUUGCAGUUGAAACUGGCAGUCUUGAGUACAGUAGAGGUGGGCGGAAUUCGUGGUGUAGCGGUGAAAUGCUUAGAUAUCACGAAGAACUCCGAUUGCGAAGGCAGCUCACUAGACUGUUACUGACACUGAUGCUCGAAAGUGUGGGUAUCAAACAGGAUUAGAUACCCUGGUAGUCCGCACAGUAAACGAUGAAUACUCGCUGUUUGCGAUACACGGUAAGCGGCCAAGCGAAAGCGUUAAGUAUUCCACCUGGGGAGUACGCCGGCAACGGUGAAACUCAAAGGAAUUGGCGGGG